RNAcentral lists this ribosomal RNA (369 nucleotides) under uncultured bacterium. RNAcentral's name for it is "bacterial SSU rRNA". It matches the Rfam family "Bacterial small subunit ribosomal RNA", at positions 527 to 896 of the family's 1533-position model. The record is from RNAcentral.
GAAGGGGGCUAGCGUUGUUCGGAAUUACUGGGCGUAAAGCGUAUGCAGGCGGAUCGUUAAGUCGGGGGUGAAAUCCCGAGGCUCAGCCUCGGAACUGCCUUCGAUACUGGCGAUCUUGAGUCCGGGAGAGGUGAGUGGAACUGCGAGUGUAGAGGUGAAAUUCGUAGAUAUUCGCAAGAACACCAGUGGCGAAGGCGGCUCACUGGCCCGGUACUGACGCUGAGAUACGAAAGCGUGGGGAGCAAACAGGAUUAGAUACCCUGGUAGUCCACGCCGUAAACGAUGGGUGCUAGCCGUCGGCAAGUUUACUUGUCGGUGGCGCAGAUAACGCAAUAAGCACCCCGCCUGGGGAGUACGAUCGCAAGAUUA